Molecule: ribosomal RNA, 253 nt
Filed under: uncultured bacterium
Lineage: Bacteria
Description: partial 16S ribosomal RNA
Rfam family: Bacterial small subunit ribosomal RNA
Source: RNAcentral
UACGGAGGGUGCAAGCGUUAUCCGGAUUUACUGGGUUUAAAGGGUGCGUAGGCGGCUUAUUAAGUCAGGGGUGAAAGACGGUGGCUCAACCAUCGCAGUGCCCUUGAUACUGAUGAGCUUGAAUACACUUGAGGUAGGCGGAAUGUGACAAGUAGCGGUGAAAUGCAUAGAUAUGUCACAGAACACCAAUUGCGAAGGCAGCUUACUAAGGUGCAAUUGACGCUGAGGCACGAAAGCGUGGGGAUCAAACAGG